UCCAGCUGAUAAUAAUCACUAUAGCACUUUUAAUACAACAACGGUCAAAUCUUAUCAUAUUAAGUGGGUCGACUACAUGUAUGAUUAAUUAGGAAUCACAAAAGAAAACAACGAUAUUUACAUUUUAUCAUGUUAACCUUUUCACCCAAAAAAACAAAAAUAUGGUAGCAAAUAACAAUAAUAUCUCUCAAAGUAAAAAAGAUGGUAUCUAAACAUUUCUAUUUUCUGGUGCAAGUCAAAUUAACUUUUUGAGUAGGUUUUUGGUUUUCCAAUAGUAUUGGAGGUAUGCCAUUAAAAAAGAUGCUACUAUUUCCUAUAUAUUCCCACGGCCAACACACUUUCACAAACACUAAUAAUGAGCACAUUUAAAAACCUCUUUCUAUCUCAUUAUCCUUUGAAUUGAGUGAAAAUAAAACAGAAGCUAAAUUCUUAUGGUUCAACAACCAUGUAAUGUAGCCAUUUACGCCCAUCUCUUUUGGCUAAACCACCACCACCAAUAAACUCCUAUCACCUUCCUCUACUAAAAUAUUUAUAGAUGGAAGAGAUUUCAAAACAUCUCAACCACCACCUUCUAUAGUGCAUGUUUGGAUUUGGUAUCUCGUUUGUGUUUGUCUUUGUCACAUAUGAACCACUGGGUAGGUUUGGGAGAAUAAAUAUGGCUCAAUGUGAUUAUGACAAAUCCGAUUUGAUACCAAACAUGCUCUAUCACCAUCUAUUUUAUUGAAAUUAAAAGGAACCGGUUAACUAUUUUCCAUAACUUGAGCAGGUUCUCUGGCGACCAAGGUGCAGAAAAAUCAUCUCAUUCGUGGUAAGAAAUUAUAGAACCAAUAAAUUUGUUUUAUGUCAUAAGUACUUUCGUCGGCGACCAUCACACGAUACCGCCACCAUGUCAAAAACUAUGUCAAUCAUAGUAAGUAAAUUCAACCAAUAUAGUCACACUUUUUUAAUUGUUUACUUCAAACGCAAACCAGAUCAACAAGGUGAUGAAUGAGUUGACUGUAUAGGGUCAUCAAUCUAUUAAAAUUAUGUUUUUAUAAAAUUAACAAAGUAUAUAAUUAAAUGAUCUCGCCACUUAUGUGGACGACAAAGAAUUUUGGUGAGUUGAAUUCGUGAUUAGACUUUUUGUUUAUAUGAAAGUUUAUACUAACAUUUGUGAUUGAAUGAUUUGAAACAAUCAACUCGUCAAUUGUAGAGGCGUGAUCCGAAACUUGCGACCAAUUGAAGAUUAUGAUUAAACUUGAUAGUUGAUAUAAGAAACUUGAAUGAAUUAGAAGAAAGUGAAGAGAUUCCCAGGAACUUAUAGAAGGGCUUUGUGCAACAAGACAUUAUUUGUUUUCUAGACUAGAGUUCACCUAUUUUGUCUUCACCUUCCUCCAAUUCUUAAAAGUUCCCAAUGAAAACUACUGGAUGUGAUUCUUGGGUUUCAGGAUUCCUCUUUGGUCAUUGAAGUCAUUUGUUUCAAAUAACUCAAUCGUUACGGUAAACCUUCUUAUUUGCUUAGGGUCCAAUCACAAAUUGAACUCGUGAAAAUUGUCACCGCUCAACAUAAGCCACAGAAUAAAUUUAAACGCCUCGUCGCUAGUUUAUUAUAGAAAUAUAGCUUGGAAAUUUAGACAAUUUAAUAUCUAAGAGUUUUUUUAAAGGAAAUACUUAAGAGUUUUUUGUGCGUAGAGUAGAAAAACA
Molecule: long non-coding RNA, 1683 nt
Filed under: Medicago truncatula (barrel medic)
Lineage: Eukaryota; Viridiplantae; Streptophyta; Magnoliopsida; Fabales; Fabaceae
Description: long non-coding RNA (MTRU_LNC003892)
Source: RNAcentral